This 501-nucleotide ribosomal RNA is filed under the name Nematostella vectensis (starlet sea anemone). Its description in RNAcentral is "Eukaryotic small subunit ribosomal RNA". It matches the Rfam family "Eukaryotic small subunit ribosomal RNA", at positions 606 to 1116 of the family's 1831-position model. The record is from Rfam by way of RNAcentral. Lineage: Eukaryota; Metazoa; Cnidaria; Anthozoa; Actiniaria; Edwardsiidae.
AAAGUUGUUGCAGUUAAAAAGCUCGUAGUUGGAUUUCGGGACGGCACGGUCGGUCCACCGCAAGGUGUGUCACUGGCCGGGCUGUUCUUCCUCGCAAAGACUGCGUGUGCUCUUAGCUGAGUGUGCGCAGGACUUGCGACGUUUACUUUGAAAAAAUUAGAGUGUUUAAAGCAGGCCAUCGCUUGAAUACAUAAGCAUGGAAUAAUGGAAUAGGACUUUGGUUCUAUUUUGUUGGUUUCUGGAACCGAAGUAAUGAUUAAGAGGGACAGUUGGGGGCAUCGUAUUCGUUGUCAGAGGUGAAAUUCUUGGAUUUACGAAAGACGAACUACUGCGAAAGCAUUUGCCAAGAAUGUUUUCAUUAAUCAAGAACGAAAGUUAGAGGAUCGAAGACGAUCAGAUACCGUCCUAGUUCUAACCAUAAACGAUGCCGACUAGGGAUCAGAGAGUGUUAUUGGAUGACCUCUUUGGCACCUUAUGGGAAACCAAAGUUUUUGGGUUCCG